Molecule: long non-coding RNA, 395 nt
Organism: Cucumis sativus (cucumber)
Lineage: Eukaryota; Viridiplantae; Streptophyta; Magnoliopsida; Cucurbitales; Cucurbitaceae
Exons: 2
Source: RefSeq, a predicted model, not a curated record
CUCCAUCCUUCUUUAUUUAGAGAUUAGAAAUUAAUUCUCAUUCACGUAUGAAGAUAUCUUGAUUUGUGAUUUGAACCUUUUGUAUUUGUAUAGAAGCGACGUAUUGCUCAUGGUGCUUUGGGUUUUUUGGGUUAGAAAUUUGAACCUCACGCAUGAAGAGGUUAGAAAUUAAUUCCUCUUCCCUCUUCACGUAUAAAGUUGGGGAAAGUCCAUAUAUCACAUGGUGCUUUGGGUUCUCCUUACAAAUCCAAUGGAGUUGAUGAUUGAUAUGAGAUGAUACAGAUUGAUAGAAGGAGAUAUGGCUUAUACGGGACCGUAUUUUCCCUACUGUCACACAGUAGAUGACCGUGAGGGAUACUCUAAACUCUGCACUUGAUGAAGAAAUGUCUGUUGAU